Molecule: long non-coding RNA, 1053 nt
Filed under: Vulpes vulpes (red fox)
Lineage: Eukaryota; Metazoa; Chordata; Mammalia; Carnivora; Canidae
Description: lncRNA (ENSVVUG00000027770.1)
Source: RNAcentral
UGCCUUCAGCCCCUUUGGCUCAUGGUUUCCUUUUAGAUAUGAAUGUAAUAAAAAUUGUGAUGGGUAACUGACUAUUUUAAAGAAGCGUGAUGCCUCAAAACUUACCUGUGCUCCAUCCUAUUCAGGGCCCAGUCCUAUGUUAGCUAAUAAUCAGAUUCUAUUUUUUAAAAUGGAAAUAUCUCUGUAAAGUAAUUAAAACAGAGUUCUUGCUGAAAUUGAAUUUAUAAAAUGAAUGCUUCCAUUUUUAUCAGAGCAAUGUUGUUUGCAAAAUGCUUUAUAGGACUAUUAAUAAGCACCUUGGGCAGCAAAUAACAUCAGGUUGAAAUGUACCAAAACAUGUAUUAAUUGCCCCAUAAAACAUGCUCUGUUGUGUCUUAUUGCUUAUAUCAGGUGGAGUUGCCAAGGCAACCCUUGCAUCCUACAAUGCCACUCUGGCUAAAAGAGGGCAUAGGACAUUCCAUGCUCCACUUACAGAAAGGCUAACAGAAAAGCUGCAGAGAAAAGAAGAGUUCUCAUUGUUUACACCAGACUGCAAACACACUCACACUGACACAAGGUCUCUACAGAAGAAGGCUUGAGUCUGGCCCGGGAAUAUAACUGUGCUUUUUUUGAGACCUCUGCAGCCCUCAGAUUCUGCAUUGAUGAUGCCUUUCAUGGUCUCGUGAGAGAAAUCCGCAAGAAGGAGUCCAUGCCAUCCUUGAUGGAAAAGAAACUGAAGAGAAAAGACAGCCUGUGGAAAAAGUUAAAAGGCUCAUUGAAGAAGAAGAAAGAAAACAUGACAUGAUAGCCUUGCUUCUAACUCCCUUAUUCUUUCUCUGAAUUUUAUCAGUUGGACAAUUCCAGAUGUUGCAUUCUGCUUCAAUAUUUUCUGUCUCUCUCUCUCUUUCUCUUUAAAUAUCUGCCUAUAGGUAAAAGCAAGAUCUGCAUAACUGUACCUCUUGAGAUAGUUUUGUUUUGCCCUUAACAGUUGGAUGGAUUUUGUCAAUCAGCCGGAUAUGCUGUUUAAGUUUUUACAAUAUAUUACUAAAUAAAAUUGACAUUCCAAUUGCCUCA